RNA transcript from Papilio polytes (common Mormon), 899 nucleotides. RefSeq lists it as uncharacterized. The transcript is spliced from 4 exons. Lineage: Eukaryota; Metazoa; Arthropoda; Insecta; Lepidoptera; Papilionidae. The record is from RefSeq and is a predicted model, not a curated record.
UGAUGCCCUUUGGUUGUGUACAAAGUCAAUCGAGUAAUCUCUGUAAAUCUUUGCAAUCCGGUUAAAUAGUGUUAUGCAGUUUUCACCAACGAUUGAAGGAAUGUGUUUCUGAUAUUACGCGAUUGUUAUUUCAUUAUCUCCGACAAACGCACGCCCACAAUUUAGACUUUCGUUAUCGUUCAUUCAAAGCCAGCUCCUACGGUGUCCGCACUUUUAGAAGGUUUAUUGGGUAAAUCAAAAUGUACGACGACACCUCAACCUAAAUGCGAUGACGACAAAAAACCAAAUGACAAGGAUCCAGACAAAAAAGAUUCAAAUGAACAGUAACAACAUUUUUGUAAACAUAAAUAUUUUAUUAUAACUAAUGUAAUUUAUUGUAUGGAUGUUAUAAAUAAAACAAUUCAAAUUAAACAAUUUCUGUAUAUUUUAAAACAUAUAGUUUGAAUUUCUCGAGUCGCGUUAAUGCGGGUAACCGGCAAUUUUAUUCUCCAAGUGGGUAGAUACGCUCUCUAGCGCGGAGCUGCGGAGAGUUGAGAGAGGGUCGUGUGCAAGCAAAGCGAGUCUGUUAGUUCAAGUUCAAAGUUCAUAGGAAGUGGCUACUUGUCCGACAUUAGGUUUAUUAGCAAAUGGGGUUUCUUUUUUCGGUUUCGCGUUUAAUAACGAUGCACAAGGCAGAAUUACUGGUGUCAGACUUGACUCGAUUGACACCGAACGACCAGGUACCUGCAGGGUAACGGCAAGGGUAAGUACCUCCUCCAUCAUCCCCUUUUUAAUUAUGCCCUUCAUGCGUAGUCUAAGGGUAGGUUGUGCCGCGCACGAACCCGUUUUGUACAGCACAGUUAUAGAAUAUCAAGAAUAUGGCUCCUACGUAAAUAAUAAUAACUCACAAUUUUGUCAUU